This 254-nucleotide ribosomal RNA is filed under the name uncultured bacterium. Its description in RNAcentral is "partial 16S ribosomal RNA". It matches the Rfam family "Bacterial small subunit ribosomal RNA", at positions 524 to 777 of the family's 1533-position model. The record is from RNAcentral.
UACGAAGGGGGCGAGCGUUGUUCGGAUUUACUGGGCGUAAAGGGCUCGUAGGCGGCCAACUAAGUCAGACGUGAAAUCCCUCGGCUUAACCGGGGAACUGCGUCUGAUACUGGAUGGCUUGAAUCCGGGAGAGGGAUGCGGAAUUCCAGGUGUAGCGGUGAAAUGCGUAGAUAUCUGGAGGAACACCGGUGGCGAAGGCGGCAUCCUGGACCGGCAUUGACGCUGAUGAGCGAAAGCCAGGGGAGCAAACGGGG